GACUGGAUUUGACAGCGGGUCGGAGUGGUAAGUAAGCACGCAGUGCGCCUGAAAGUGGGCACUUAAAUCUCGGCUUUCAAAAAUUUAUCUGGCGAAAACAACUUUGCUCUCGCUGCCUAAUCGAAGCACAGUAGAUUGGCUUAAUUCCGGCACAAGGUGCUGGAACGGGACAUCACCCAAGAGCUACCUGCUCCGAAGCGUCUUGACAAGGUGGUGCAGCUAAAUCGGAGAUAGUUGGUGCUGGCCUCGCAGCAGCAAUGAAGAUCUUUAGAGGAUAAGGUGUAGGUUGGUAGCGUCGGUCUUGCCUCCGCUCGAAAAUCAAAGCGACGAUAAGCGUGUAGAAAGCUUAUUGCUUCCCUGUUUGGACGAGGGUUCAAUCCCCUCCUGGUCCACCA
RNAcentral lists this transfer-messenger RNA (395 nucleotides) under uncultured Alloprevotella sp. It matches the Rfam family "transfer-messenger RNA". From Rfam's summary of the family: Bacterial tmRNA, also known as 10Sa RNA or SsrA, is named for its dual tRNA and mRNA-like properties. Its role is to liberate the mRNA from a stalled ribosome. Lineage: Bacteria; Pseudomonadati; Bacteroidota; Bacteroidia; Bacteroidales; Prevotellaceae. The record is from RNAcentral.